AGAGAGAGCCAAGCAUAUGUAUUUGAGAAAGCCCCCAGGUAAUUCUGAUGUGCAUCCCGAUCAAGGAACCUCUGUGGAAGAAUUGGUCCACUUUAAUUGCUAUAUGAUACAAAUUAGUGAAAUUUAUGAGAACCCUAUGUUGGCUCUUAUAAGAAAUGGAAAUUAAUAAAUUAAGGAAAUUGAAAGACGAAGGGCACUUGGCUGCAUUUAAAUAUAGUUUCUUCUCAGGGAGAAUGUCACUAUUAUGAAUUUUUCAUCAUUCAAAGAAACUGGAGCUAAAAAUUGCUUUUAUACCAUCUGUCAACAGUGAACAAGUUGGUUCUGGGCUGCACUAGAUCUCUCUCAAUGCAUUCCUCUAAUAAUCAGUGACACACCUUUGAGUAGUGGCCCUUCUCGAGUGCCUCUGUGGGGCUGAAUACAUUUUUAUAUUCUUAAAUUUUAAACAAAAGAGGUGUAGGGAUUUAUAAAUUUUAAUCUUAAGAGGGCAAAAAAACUAAAUCAUAUUUUUUAAAAUUUGUUUGUACUUCCAGGCUGACAGAUUGACUCUUUUAGUGGACAAAUAACUUCUCUAGGUUUCAUCUGUCUGAUCUGAGUAGACACGUUAGGAAAAUAAGGGAGUAAAGAAGACUAUAGAAGGUAUUUUAACAUGGGAACUGGGAGCUCAGAUGCUGGAUCAGGUAGUUCUGACCUUAAUCUGGCUCUAUGCCAUGUACUAGCUUUGUGAAUUGGGAUAACUAGCCUUGGCUUAAUCAUCUAUAAAAUGUAGUUGGUAAAGGCAUCUAUCCCCUUGUAUUUUGCAGGGAAUGAAAGAUAAUGUUAAGUAAAAUGCUUAGCGCAGUACCCAAGUCAUAGUUAAUCUUUAAUAAGUGAUAGCCCCUACUAACUUUUUCAUAGAUUCUGAGACACAUCCUGCAAUUGAGAUAAUUGCCAGCUUUUUUCUUUCCUAAAGAUACAUGACUUUUUCCAGAUCAGUUCUAUCUUAGAUUUGAUGAAACAGGUAUUAUUGCUUACUAGAGUACACCAUAUCCAGUGGGUUUAGCAAACACAAAUUUGCACAUAAUAGUUUAUGGAUUAAUUCCUAAAGUUUUGUUUGAAUAACUUGAAUAGGUCCAGAAGACAUCCGCUUAUAUUAGCAACUGUGCCAAUGUGUCUAUUGAAUAAUAAGAAAUUUCUUUCAAAUGCAUUCCAAAAGGCCACCUUUUAAUUAAUUCACAAAGCCUUCGUCCAAGUAAUUCAAAUUGAUUGUUAUUUUUCACAUCCAUAAAAAAUGAUUUUUUGUAGGCAGACAGUGGCCACCAACUUUGAUCUGAAUCUACUGAGGACAACAUAAUGGUCUUUGGUUGCAGCAUGUGAGAUUGCCUUCAGAGAGAAAGGGGAACUGAUGAAAGUGGGUUCCCCUCAUGGUGGGUUCCCCUCAUUCCCUGCUCACAGCUGACCUGACUCUGAUUAAGAGUCCUUGGAGACACCUUGCCGAGACCGCUGUAAGGAUGCAGCUAAGGAUAUCUCCAUCUCAUAAAAGGUUCAGUGUCCCGUUAUGAAGAACCUUCAGAAAAAGCUUCUCCUAGUUUUAGUAUCAGCUUUUGUUCAGUUAUUCAACAAACAUUCACCAGGGCUCCUCCUCAGUGCCAUACUCAGUCCUAGGGGUUACAGACCAGGUCUUGGGCUCAUAGACUUUCUGGAAUGCAAGAGACACAUGAUAAACAUAUUGUCAAGUAAGUGAGUUAAAAUUUUUCAUGUGAGAAAAACUGAGCAAGGUGAAGCAGGCCCACCUUGGGCUUGGGGGAAGAGAGGCUGCUUUCAAAGUGGGCAGUAAGAAACCACUUCUCUGGGAAUGGAACUUUGAGCCCGAAUGGCAAGAACAGGUCGGACAUGUGAAGAUCUGAGGAAAAAGGAAAAACAGGUGCAAAGGUCUUGAGUCAGGGAUGACCUUGGUGUGUUCAUGGGUCAAAAGGGAGACCAGGGUGGCUGAUAUGAAGCAAGGAAGCAGAGGUGAUUAGCUGCUGAGACUGAAGGCCUGAAAGGACCUGGGCAUCAGGAUUUCUAGGUGGAGGGGAAGCAGCUGGUGCUGAGAACACACCUGGGCUGCUCUGCCGUGUGUACCUCUGGGCCUCGUGAAUGGAUAUCUUAACCCGCUUCCUUUUCUCAUCUCCCCCUCCUCUCCCUCUUUGGGCCAGAUUCAUGACCUUUGGUUAAUGUCUUGGAGUCUGUGUUGUGCAUUAACUUCUUUCCUGGCACCAUCUUGUGCCCAAUUCUGUGUGUCCUUUUUCUUUCUCUCUAAUACUUCUUGGUGUAGAUAACUGGUUUAUCUUUCGGGUAAUUCACUUUCCACCUUGUUUUAGAUGAAGAGGGGUGGACGAUGCAUCCAUGCAUAAACAAUGGUGGAGGAACAGGGGCUGGUGACAUCUUCUUCAUGAAGUCAUCAGAACAAGAUGGACUUUUAUCUCUCCAGCUGAACUUAGAAGCUGGAUCCUCUGUCUUUGACUUUCUGCUCCUUGGGUCUUAGUGUGAGGCUAUGGAUUUGGAAAGGGCUACAGUGGAUUCAUGUUAUUUGCAGUCAUUAUAUUCUAUAUAGUCUCAAACACUCAAUUGAGGAAUAUUGAACCACUUCUCCAGAGGAGAUAUAGGGUAAAAAUUGAAGAAACUUCUGGUCCUACACAACUUUUGUAUUAACCAAUCAAUAAUACUUAUGUCUUAUGGAUGUUUCUGUUUAAAGAGCCCUUUCUUUUUUUAUUUUUUUUGGGUUACUUAAUGAAUUUAUUACAUUUAUGGUUGUACAGUGAUCACCACAAUCCAAUUUUAUAGGAUUUCCAUCCCAUUUUGGGUGUUUCUGUUUAAAGACCCCUUUCUUAGUAUAUAUUGUUGAUUCAUUAACAUUGAACCCGUAGCCAACAGCAUGACAACUCAUGCCUGAACAAAGCUUAUAUAACACACCUAUGUUCCCUGGAGGGCUUAUCACAGCCGCCUUGUGCUUAGGAACUUAGCACCUUAGCACCAUGCUUGGGGACCACUUCAAAGAGUGAAAUCAUGGACAAAAACGUGUAAAACAUGUCACUAAAUAGACAAUAAAAAGCAUUGCUCUUCAUGAUAUGAGAACUGAAACAAGAAGGCAGAGCACAACCUAGUUCAAGCCUAGCUGGGAACAUGCAUGUCCAAUGACUCAGACUUUUCUCCAUCCUACACACAUCUGUGAAGUUGCGGGACGGUGCUGUUAGUGGUGAUUUGGGGAUUACAAAUACAUUUUAGUGAGUAGGCAAUUUUCAGAUACAGAAUCCGUGAAUAAGGACUGGCAUAUAUUAAAACAAUUUUUUUUUUUUUACUUUUGAAGUAGACCACGGUAAUCCCAGUAUUGUGACGUAUGUCAGCAAGACUGAGAGCUAUUUAUUCAUUUAUUGGACAUAUAAGGACUUCAAGUAGGAUGCAUAUUUGCCCUAAUAUGAAAAAUUCAGUUUAUAGUUCAAGUUUAUAUGUACCAAGAAGCUGAGUGGGUCAGUCCCUAAAGUCCUGGUGCAUGGAGGUAUUUUCACUGCUUAACAACAACCAGCCUAUGCAAUUGGGAACCUUUGGCAGAUGGAUGUGAAAAAUUGUUCCUCAAUGUUUUUUUCCUAAGGAAGUUAAGGAACCAGAAGUUCUGAUCAAAGUGGUCUGUUGGGUAAAAAAUUCCUUGAAACACCAUGGUCAAGAGGAGAAUAAAACGUUCCAGCCUCUUAAAUAGACAGUACACUUACUCUCCUGAGAGUCUGGACCUCACAAACAACUGGUCUUGAGAGGGCUGCUCAGAAGGGGUGGGGCACAGAAACAGGAAGCAAGAACUGGGCUCUUUGAACUCUUUCUUCUUCUUUUAUUUAUAUUUUAAUUAAAAAAAUUUUUUUAGGGCUGCAGGUGCGACAUAUAGAAGUUCCUAAGCUAGGGGUUGAAUCGGAGCUAUCGCUGCUGGCCUACACCAUAGCCACAGCAAUGCCCACUGAGCGAGGCCAGGGAUGGAACCUGAGUCCUCAUGGAUACUAGUUGGAUUCGUUUCCGCUGUGCCACUGUGGGAACUCCCCUAUCAUGGCUCUUCUAAACAUGUUCAUAUAUUCUAGGCAAACUGUCUUCCUUGCUAUCUGCAAAACAUAAUUAAAUUUUCUAACCCCAUACCAUUAUGCAUCUGCUACUUUCUCCUAGGUAUGCCUUCUUUCCAUCUCAAUUAUUUUUAACAACAUGUUUCCAAAUUCUCCACAAAUAGAUGUUGUUUUCUCAUCCCCAAACUUCCUCAGCACUUUACCUUCGCCUCUAGAGGAAUUUUACAUGUUUUUCUUUACAUUAAUUUUUUUUGGUCUCUUUCUUACUAUUACUCCCCAUUCUAUAGGAACAUAAAACUUCCUAUUUCCCAUAAUCCUUAAAGGAGGUCUUGCACUGCAAAAAUUCUCAAUAAAUAUUGAUAGAACUUGGAGGAUGUUCUUAACUAUUCUGCAGUAGUUCAUGAGCCACCUCUCUAGGGAGGAAAGGAGAAGAGAGGGAGGGUUGCCACCAAGAACUCAUACCUGAGGCCACCUCAAGAGGUAUAAGAGGGUCCAGAUCAAAAUGGAGAAUGCACUCCAGGUCCCAGACACCUAAGAGGCCACAGUCCGGUCUUAGAGCUUGGAGGAGAUGUAUGUAAACUCUCUGGAGUGAAGUGUCAGAAAUAAAUGGAAAUGUCAGGAAUUUCCCUCAUAAGUUAUCUGGAGUUGCUGUGGACAUCAUGGAGCGUUGUGGUCUCCAUAAACCCUUGGCUAAGGGGUGAUUCCGGGUGUGGCAGAGUCACCCCAGACUGACCACAGUCCCUUGGCCAUCUCUAGCUCUUGGCUGAAUCAGACUUGAGGUUUGGAGACGAUACACUGGUCAGAGACCUCAUGUUGUUGUACCUAUCCUGUUCUUCCAUGACAAACUAU
RNAcentral lists this long non-coding RNA (4907 nucleotides) under Sus scrofa (pig). RNAcentral describes it as "lncRNA (ENSSSCG00000062443.1)". Lineage: Eukaryota; Metazoa; Chordata; Mammalia; Artiodactyla; Suidae. The record is from RNAcentral.